This 497-nucleotide ribosomal RNA is filed under the name uncultured bacterium. RNAcentral describes it as "partial 16S ribosomal RNA". It matches the Rfam family "Bacterial small subunit ribosomal RNA", at positions 28 to 507 of the family's 1533-position model. The record is from RNAcentral.
GAUGAACGCUGGCGGCGUGCCUAAUACAUGCAAGUCGAGCGAACAGACGAGGAGCUUGCUCCUCUGACGUUAGCGGCGGACGGGUGAGUAACACGUGGAUAACCUAACUAUAAGACUGGGAUAACUUCGGGAAAACGGAGCUAAUAGCGGAUAAUAUAUUGAACCGAAUUGUUCAAUAGUGAAAGACGGUAUUGCUGUCACUUAUAGAUGGAUCCACGCCUCAUUAGAUAGUUGGUAAGGUAACGGCUUACCAAGGCAACGAUGCGUAGCCGACCUGAAAGCGUGAACUGCCACAGUAGAACUAAGGCGCGAUCCAGACUCCUACGGGAGGAAUCACUGUGGACUCCUCCGCAAUGGGCCAAAGCCUGACGGAGAAACUGCUCGUAAGUGAUGACGGUCUUCUAAUCGUAAAACUCUGUUAUUAGCUACGAACAAAUGUGUAAGUAACUAUGCACGUCUUAACGGUACCUAAUCAGAAAGCCACGGCUAACUACGUG